UUUUUUUUUUUUUUGAGACAGAGUCUCACUAUGUCGCCCAGGCUGAAGUGCAGUGGCGCGAUCUCGGCUCACUGUAACCUCCGCCUCCCUGUUUCAAGGGAUUCUCCUGCCUCAGGCUCCUGAGUAGCUGGAACUACAGGCGCCUGCCGCCACACCCAGCUAAUUUUUGUAUAUUUUUUAAGUAGAGAUGGGGUUUCGCCAUAUUGGCCAGGCUGGUCUCGAACUCCUGACCUCAUGAUCUGCCUGCCUCAGCCCCUCAAAGUGCUGGGAUUAUAGGCGUGAGCCACCGCACCCGGCCAAUUGUUUUGUACUAUAGUCACCUUCUUGUGCUAGCAAAUACUAGGUCUUAUACAUUCUUUGUAACUAUUCUUUUGUCAUUCCCGCUUCUCACCCACCUCCCCACUAACCUUACCAGCCUCUGGUAACCCUCCUUUUAUUCUCUAUCUCCAUGAGUUCAAUUGUUUUAAUUUUUCGCUCCUGGCUGGGUGCGGUGGCUCACACCUGUAUCCUAGCACUUUGGGAGGCCAAGACUGGUGGAUCACCUGAGGUCAGGAGUUCAAGACCAGCCUGGCCAACAUGGUGAAACCCUGUCUCUACUAAAAUACAAAAACUAGCUGGGCAUGAUGGCGAGUGCCUGUAAUCCCAGCUACUCAGGAGGCUGAGACGGGAGAAUCUCUUGAACCUGGGAGAUGGUGGUUGUGGUGAGCUGAGAUCGCGCCACUGCACUCUAACCUGGGCAGCUGAGUGAGACUCCGUCCCAAAAAUAAAAAUAAAAAAUUUGUUGCUUCCACAAAUAAGUGAGAAUAUGUGAAGUUUGUGUUUCUGUACCUGGCUUCUUUCACGUAACAUAAUGACCUCCAGUUCCAUCCAUAUUGUUGCAAAUAACAGGAUCUCACUUUUUAAAUGGCAGAAUAGUAUUCCAUUGUGUAUAUGCACAUUUUAUUUAUCCAUUCAUCUGUUGAUGGACACUUAGGCUGCUUCCAAAUCUUGGCUAUUGUGAAUAGGGCUGCAGUAAACAUGCGAGUGCGGAUCUUUUCCAUACACUGAUUUCCUUUUUUCUGGUGUAUACCUAAGAGUGGGAUUGCUGGAUGGUAUGGUAGCUGUCUUUGGCUUUUGCUCUUGAUAGCUGUCCUUGCCUCUCUGAACUUGAGCUUCUUUAUCUGUAAAAUGGGAGUUAGGGGUCUGUUCUGAGCAUCACAGGAGAUGGAGGAUGAGCAGGUAGAUGUAAACUAAUUAAACAGAUCAGUCCUACUGAUCCCAUAGAAGAAAGGGAGUCAGGAACCCUUUCAUUCCAUCUAUAUUUACUGAGUACACACAGUGUGCUUGAACUGGGAUACCCACCAUCUUUUCGCAUUACCCUGACCGCCCUCUAAUCUAUUCUCCACCCUGUUGUCAGAGUAAUGUUUCUAAUGAUCAGAAAUCUGAUCAUGUCACUACCCUACUUAAAAGUAUCUGAUGAUGGCCAGGUACAGUGGCUCGUGCCUAUAAUCCCAACACUUUGGGAGGCUGAGGCAGGUGGAUCGCUUGAGCCCGGAGUUCGAGACUACCCUGAGCAACAUGGCAAACCCUGUCUCAACAAAAAAUACAAAAAUGGCUGGGCUCAGUGGCUCACACCUGUAAUCCCAGCACUUUGGGAGGUCAAGGUGGGCGGAUCACCUCAGCUCGGAAGUUCGAGACUAGCCUGGCAACAUGGCGAAACCCCAUCUCUACUAAAAAUACAAAAAUUAGCUGGGCAUGAUGGUGCACACCUGUAGUCCCAGCUACUCGGGAGGCUGAGGCAUGAGGCAAGAAUCACAUGGGCUGGGAGGUAGAGGCUUCAGUGAGCCGAGAUAACACCAGUGCACUCCUGCCUGGGUGGCAAAGGGAGACCGUGUCUCAAGAAAACAAGACAAAAACAUAGCAGGCAUGGUGCUGCACGCCUGUGACCCAAGUCACACGGGAGGUUGAGGUGGGAGGAUUGCUUGAGCCUGGGAGGUUGAGGCUGCAGUAAGCUGAGAUCAUACCACUGCACUCCAGCCUGGGCAAUAGAGUGAGACUCUGUCUCAAAAGAAAAAAAAAAAAAA
RNAcentral lists this long non-coding RNA (2063 nucleotides) under Macaca fascicularis (crab-eating macaque). RNAcentral describes it as "lncRNA (ENSMFAG00000047978.1)". Lineage: Eukaryota; Metazoa; Chordata; Mammalia; Primates; Cercopithecidae. The record is from RNAcentral.